RNAcentral lists this microRNA precursor (101 nucleotides) under Capitella teleta. RNAcentral's name for it is "microRNA cte-mir-184a precursor". Its record names the gene cte-mir-184a. The stretch from base 9 to 92 matches the Rfam family "mir-184 microRNA precursor family". The record is from miRBase by way of RNAcentral. Lineage: Eukaryota; Metazoa; Annelida; Polychaeta; Capitellidae.
CAUCACUCGAUCGCACGAUUCCUUACCAUUUCUUUGUCCGGUCCGUGUGAUUAUCAUCACUGGACGGAGAACUGAUAAGGGCCUGUGACGACCACGAGCCU